GAGGACUUAGCUUAAUUAAAGUGGUUGGUUUGCAUUCAGCUGAUGU
Molecule: transfer RNA, 46 nt
Filed under: Hippotragus niger (sable antelope)
Lineage: Eukaryota; Metazoa; Chordata; Mammalia; Artiodactyla; Bovidae
Description: partial tRNA-Ala
Source: RNAcentral